This 379-nucleotide ribosomal RNA is filed under the name uncultured eukaryote. Its description in RNAcentral is "partial 18S ribosomal RNA". It matches the Rfam family "Eukaryotic small subunit ribosomal RNA", at positions 592 to 976 of the family's 1831-position model. The record is from RNAcentral.
CAAUAGCGUAUAUUUAAGUUGUUGCAGUUAAAAAGCUCGUAGUUGGAUUUCGGAUGGGACUUGCCGGUCCGUCGUUUCGAUGUGCACUGGCCAGUCCUAUCUUGUUGUCGGGGACUAGCUCCUGGGCUUCACUGUCCGGGACUAGGAGCUGACGAGGUUACUUUGAGUAAAUUAGAGUGUUCAAAGCAAGCCUACGCUCUGAAUACAUUAGCAUGGAAUAACACGAUAGGACUCUGGCUUAUCUUGUUGGUCUGUGAGACCAGAGUAAUGAUUAAGAGGGACAGUCGGGGGCAUUCGUAUUUCAUUGUCAGAGGUUAAAUUCUUGGAUUUAUGAAAGACGAACUUCUGCGAAAGCAUUUGUCAAGGAUGUUUUCAUUAA